UGUUAAAAAUUUCAUCUAUUUUUACUGUUAAAAAUUGGUGCAAUUGAUAAAAUAAUCAAAUAGUUACAUAUGAUGUGUUAUGUGUACCUCAAUUUGACAUACACAUAUAGGUCUUUAAUAGUAAAAAUGAAUAAAAUUUUUAACA
Molecule: non-coding RNA, 145 nt
Organism: Gossypium raimondii (Peruvian cotton)
Lineage: Eukaryota; Viridiplantae; Streptophyta; Magnoliopsida; Malvales; Malvaceae
Source: Rfam